This 1120-nucleotide ribosomal RNA is filed under the name uncultured Psychrobacter sp. Its description in RNAcentral is "bacterial SSU rRNA". It matches the Rfam family "Bacterial small subunit ribosomal RNA", at positions 119 to 1229 of the family's 1533-position model. Lineage: Bacteria; Pseudomonadati; Pseudomonadota; Gammaproteobacteria; Moraxellales; Moraxellaceae. The record is from RNAcentral.
CGGGGGUUAUGGUAGUGCGGGAAGCACGGGGACUCGUAUUAAUACCGCAUACGACCUACGGGAGAAAGGGGGCAGUUUACUGCUCUCGCUAUUAGAUGAGCCUAAGUCGGAUUAGCUAGAUGGUGGGGUAAAGGCCUACCAUGGCGACGAUCUGUAGCUGGUCUGAGAGGAUGAUCAGCCACACCGGGACUGAGACACGGCCCGGACUCCUACGGGAGGCAGCAGUGGGGAAUAUUGGACAAUGGGGGAAACCCUGAUCCAGCCAUGCCGCGUGUGUGAAGAAGGCCUUUUGGUUGUAAAGCACUUUAAGCAGUGAAGAAGACUCCAUGGUUAAUACCCAUGGACGAUGACAUUAGCUGCAGAAUAAGCACCGGCUAACUCUGUGCCAGCAGCCGCGGUAAUACAGAGGGUGCAAGCGUUAAUCGGAAUUACUGGGCGUAAAGGGAGCGUAGGUGGCUCUAUAAGUCAGAUGUGAAAUCCCCGGGCUUAACCUGGGAACUGCAUCUGAAACUGUAGAGCUAGAGUAUGUGAGAGGAAGGUAGAAUUCCAGGUGUAGCGGUGAAAUGCGUAGAGAUCUGGAGGAAUACCGAUGGCGAAGGCAGCCUUCUGGCAUAAUACUGACACUGAGGCUCGAAAGCGUGGGUAGCAAACAGGAUUAGAUACCCUGGUAGUCCACGCCGUAAACGAUGUCUACUAGUCGUUGGGUCCCUUGAGGACUUAGUGACGCAGCUAACGCAAUAAGUAGACCGCCUGGGGAGUACGGGCCGCAAGGUUAAAACUCAAAUGAAAUUGACGGGGGGCCCGCACAAGCGGUGGAGCAUGGUGGUUUAAUUCGAUGCAACGCGAGAAACCUUACCUGGGUCUUGAACAAUAUCUAGAAUUCCUUGCAGAGGAUGCCGGGAGGUGGCCUUUCGGGAAUUAGAAUACAAGGGUGCUGCAUGGCCUGUUCGUCAGCCUCGUGUCGUGGAGAUGUUUGGGUAAAGUCCCGCCACCGAGCGCAAACCCUGUCCUAGUACCAGCGGGUUAAGCCGGAACUCUUAGAUACUGCCAAGUGACAACUGAGGAUGGCCGGGGACGACGUAGUCAUCAUGCCUACGAACAGGGCUUACAACGUGCUCUA